GCAUUGGCUUUGGUAGCACAUAUACUAAAAUUGGAACGAUACAGAGAAGAUUAGCAUGGCCCCUGUGCAAGGAUGACAUGCAAAUUUGUGAAGUGUUUCAUAUUUUU
RNAcentral lists this small nuclear RNA (107 nucleotides) under Otolemur garnettii (small-eared galago). The record is from RNAcentral. Lineage: Eukaryota; Metazoa; Chordata; Mammalia; Primates; Galagidae.